AGUCGUCCGUCGGGGAGCUCGGGCAGCCGGGCUGAGAGGGUGGCCACCGCGUCACCGACCCGUCGAACCUGCUCUGGGUAAUGCCAGCGGAGGGAGAACCGGCGGCUCGCCGGA
This 114-nucleotide non-coding RNA is filed under the name Cryptosporangium arvum. RNAcentral's name for it is "TPP sequence". The stretch from base 11 to 95 matches the Rfam family "TPP riboswitch aptamer (THI element)", at positions 11 to 88 of the family's 105-position model. Rfam says of the family: Vitamin B(1) in its active form thiamin pyrophosphate (TPP) is an essential coenzyme that is synthesised by coupling of pyrimidine and thiazole moieties in bacteria. The previously detected thiamin-regulatory element, thi box was extended, resulting in a new, highly conserved RNA secondary structure, the THI element, which is widely distributed in eubacteria and also occurs in some archaea. RNAcentral also lists the same sequence under 1 other name. Lineage: Bacteria; Bacillati; Actinomycetota; Actinomycetes; Cryptosporangiales; Cryptosporangiaceae. The record is from RNAcentral.